Molecule: long non-coding RNA, 963 nt
Organism: Daktulosphaira vitifoliae (grape phylloxera)
Lineage: Eukaryota; Metazoa; Arthropoda; Insecta; Hemiptera; Phylloxeridae
Exons: 3
Source: RefSeq, a predicted model, not a curated record
UAUAAUAGUAUAAUCUCUAUUGGUUAUUAUUAUUAUUUUCUACUGCACCUUUAAAAUAAUAAUAUAUGUAUUGCAUUUUAUUUUAUUAUAUUUAAUUUGACAAUUUUUUUAUACCUAUAACUAGAGGUAUUACAUUUAAAGUAGCACCCCCACUACCAGCAACCACGAGUCUUCACUGCGUUUAACAUUAAAUGUAUACAUUACAUCGAAAUAGUGUACGUCAAGUAUCGGCCGCACACUUGUCCUUGACUAUUACAGAAGUUAUAAUUAAUUGAAUUAUACAUAAUAAUUAUAACGUCGUUAUCGGUGGUUACAAUCAAGUAAUUGUCACCGUCGAGAACGUCCUACAUACAAUCGUUGGUAAUAACACUUCGGCGAUAACAGCUAAGUGGGUAAACCGAAUUGGGCGUGAGGUGCGCACAAUGGGUGAAACCCAAUGAAAACUAACCUAAGUCGUUGGGAGUAGGGGAUCUCCUCAACAUGUCGUAAUGAGCGAAGGGGUAAUGAAACUUAACUUGAAACCAACCGCCAUGUUAUAAUCCGCAUUACUGUCAACAUUUUACGAAAAAUAAUUGCUUUUUCUAAGAAUUUUUAUCAUUGCCUACCAGACGCAUAGCUAAGCAUGUUUCAAACAUAAAAGGUACCGCCAUAUCAUAAUCCACAUUACCGUCUACAUUUUAUAAGAACAAAGACAACGUCUGUCGUUAUGGCAUAAUAAAUUCUAAGAAAUUUAUCAUGGGUAACCAGACGCUUAGGUCAGCAUAUUUCAAACAUCAAAGAGGUCGCCGCAUAAAAAUGUCGUAUGAAUCUUAUCAUCGGAUGCCAGACGCUUAGAUAAGCAUAUUUCCGACAUUGUUUGUGUAGUACCUGUUUAAACCAACCAAAACUUGUCUAAACAAGAUCUUUGACCCCUAUAAAAGAACGUCACAUCAAGUUCAGGAUCAUUCACUCAUUAUCUUUUCC